UGGGGAAUAUUGCGCAAUGGGGGAAACCCUGACGCAGCGACGCCGUGUGAGGGAAGAAGGCUUUCGGGUCGUAAACCUCUGUCGGGAGGGAAGAACCGAUUGGAGUCGAACAGGCUCCUUUCCUGACGGUACCUCCAAAGGAAGCACCGGCUAACUCCGUGCCAGCAGCCGCGGUAACACGGAGGGUGCAAGCGUUAAUCGGAAUCACUGGGCGUAAAGCGCACGUAGGCGGUCCUGUAAGUCAGACGUGAAAGCCCUCGGCUCAACCGGGGAACUGCGUUUGAUACUGCUUGACUUGAGUAUCGGAGAGGGUGGCGGAAUUCCAGGUGUAGGAGUGAAAUCCGUAGAUAUCUGGAGGAACACCGGCGGCGAAGGCGGCCACCUGGACGAAUACUGACGCUGAGGUGCGAAAGCGUGGGGAGCAAACAGG
RNAcentral lists this ribosomal RNA (430 nucleotides) under uncultured bacterium. RNAcentral describes it as "bacterial SSU rRNA". It matches the Rfam family "Bacterial small subunit ribosomal RNA", at positions 355 to 776 of the family's 1533-position model. The record is from RNAcentral.